UACGGAGGGGGCGAGCGUUGUUCGGAGUGACUGGGCGUAAAGGGAGCGUAGGCGGCCUGCCAAGUCUGAUGUGAAAUACCGGGGCUCAACCCCGGGGCUGCAUUGGAAACUGGCAGGCUGGAGUGCCGGAGAGGCAGGCGGAAUUCCUAGUGUAGCGGUGAAAUGCGUAGAUAUUAGGAGGAACACCAGUGGCGAAGGCGGCUUACUGGACCGUAACUGACGUUGAGGCUCGAAAGCGUGGGGAGCAAACAGG
This 253-nucleotide ribosomal RNA is filed under the name uncultured Lachnospiraceae bacterium. Its description in RNAcentral is "partial 16S ribosomal RNA". It matches the Rfam family "Bacterial small subunit ribosomal RNA", at positions 524 to 776 of the family's 1533-position model. The record is from RNAcentral. Lineage: Bacteria; Bacillati; Bacillota; Clostridia; Lachnospirales; Lachnospiraceae.